Molecule: long non-coding RNA, 221 nt
Filed under: Numida meleagris (helmeted guineafowl)
Lineage: Eukaryota; Metazoa; Chordata; Aves; Galliformes; Numididae
Description: lncRNA (ENSNMEG00000008957.1)
Source: RNAcentral
CGGAUGUCAGUUUUAAUUUAAUAGUAUCAUAUAGAUUUUUCUUUAUUAAUAUCUUUACAGAUCAUUACACUCCAGACCUAUAGAUAAUAACAGAUGUCAACUGUGCAGCCUAUAUCUUAAGGUUGUGCCUUCAAAGCAAACAAGAUGUGACCCAUUCAGAAAUCAACUGUCUAUUUCUACUAUUGCAUCUAAGCAACAAAGUGAAGACAAUGCUCCUUAAG